RNAcentral lists this ribosomal RNA (253 nucleotides) under uncultured bacterium. RNAcentral describes it as "partial 16S ribosomal RNA". It matches the Rfam family "Bacterial small subunit ribosomal RNA", at positions 524 to 776 of the family's 1533-position model. The record is from RNAcentral.
UACGAAGGGGGCUAGCGUUGUUCGGAAUGACUGGGCGUAAAGGGCGCGUAGGCGGCUGUGACAGUCAGAUGUGAAAUUCCUGGGCUCAACCUGGGGGCUGCAUUUGAUACGUGAUGGCUGGAGUGGGGAAGAGGGUCGUGGAAUUCCCAGUGUAGAGGUGAAAUUCGUAGAUAUUGGGAAGAACACCAGUGGCGAAGGCGACUUACUGGACACAUAUUGACGCUGAGACUCGAAAGCAUGGGGAGCAAACAGG